Arvicanthis niloticus (Nile rat) is the source of this 142-nucleotide small nucleolar RNA. RefSeq annotates it as small nucleolar RNA SNORA48. The record is from RefSeq and is a predicted model, not a curated record. Lineage: Eukaryota; Metazoa; Chordata; Mammalia; Rodentia; Muridae.
ACCCCCUGCAAUAGGCAAAGAGACACCUUGUUGGUGAUGGUGUCUUAUAUUGCUCAGGGGCAGAGCAGAGGAUACUUCUUUGUUCAUCCUAGCUUGGUGCCUGGCUUGGUGGCCAAAGCUGUCUCAUGCCUAGAACUCAUAA